RNAcentral lists this long non-coding RNA (1077 nucleotides) under Sorghum bicolor (sorghum). Its description in RNAcentral is "long non-coding RNA (SBIC_LNC007293)". The record is from RNAcentral. Lineage: Eukaryota; Viridiplantae; Streptophyta; Magnoliopsida; Poales; Poaceae.
UGCAAUGACACGCUUAACUGCAGUCUCCAGCCGGUCAGCAAAUGAUGGAAAUUGCAAGUGCCUCAACAUCAUGGCAGAAGAUAGCAGCAGCGCAACAGGGUUAGCUCUCUUCUUCUCCACAAUAUUCUCAUUUCCAACAUUUCCUGCAGAAGCACCUUGCUCAAAGAUAGCAUGGUCCUGACCCACAUUACCUGAAAAGAUGCAGCAAAUGAAGAUUCACAGGCCUUCUAAAUUCGUAUACUGCAUCUGCUCAAAUAUGAAUACUAAACUUGCACAAUCUUGCUACACAAAACUCAUGGGAAAGAUUAACAGCAGUAUGAAAAAAAAACACAUAGAUGCAUGCAGUAAACGAGCCAAAAAAAAUUAAAUAAUGGGUAGAUGCAAAUACAACUUUACACAAAACCAUGCAUGCUAUUUGCACGUGUAGGAUUCGUGAAUCAUAGUUAAAACUCUACCUCCAGGCAUGACACCAGUGCCUCCAGCAAUACCUGCAGCUACAUUAGCCACCAGAUUGCCAUAAAGAUUUGGGGUGACCUAUAAAAGGAACCAAAGAAAAGUAUGUUCAAACUCCACAGGUAAUCUAACUAAAUCAUUUGAAAUCUUCAGAUUAUUCUGGAAAAAAACCUAUAGAGCAAGAGAAAACAAAGGAAAUUGUUAGCUUGGCGAUACUAGGAACUAACAUGCUUUUGUAUCACAUUUGCAGAGCAUAGUUCAUUUGGUAUUCAAAUAGUCCACAAAAGACAAGUAUAAGAUUGUAGGUAUAUAACAUGUGGCAUAUCCAAGAUCAUAAAGACAACAGGUGUUGUACUUUGCCUUUGUAGAAUAAGAAAACAACAUCAAACAUCACCUAUAGGUGAGAAACUGUGUCAAUUAAGUUACAAGAGUGAAUACACGUACCAUAACAUCGAAUUGUUCAGGCUUUGCAACAAGCUGCAUACAACAGUUGUCCACAAUGAUUUCAUUAUAUUGAAUUCCAGGGUACUUCUUUGCAACCUCACGGCAAGACUCCAAGAACAAACCAUCAGCAAGCUUCAUAAUGUUGGCUUUAUGCACUGCUGUCACUUUCUUUCGAUUGUU